Long non-coding RNA from Myotis daubentonii (Daubenton's bat), 508 nucleotides. RefSeq lists it as uncharacterized. The transcript has 3 exons. The record is from RefSeq and is a predicted model, not a curated record. Lineage: Eukaryota; Metazoa; Chordata; Mammalia; Chiroptera; Vespertilionidae.
GUGUGGAGGAGGGCCUGCGACCACAAUCAAGUGUCCCCCCACGCAGGGCUUGCUGUGGGGGUGAGAGAGCAGUCCGUCCCAGAUGACCAACCCCAUUCUCCAGAUGAAGGGGUGGCUUCCUGGGUCCUGGCGGAAGAUAAACUCACUGGGGUAGAGACUUCUCUUCUGUUCACUGCUGACUCUCCAGCACCCAGCACAGCGCCUGGCAUGUAGUAGGUGUGCAAUAAAUACCUGCUGGUAGAAUAAACUCAUUUCAGAAGCUUGACUGAUGGAUGGGAAAGAGUGGGGCAUUGACCAAACACCAGGAAACCAUCGCUCCAUGGGACUGUUAUGAAGAGGCUUCCUCAUUGACUGUUGAAGUUCUCGGGGGGCAGGAAUCACUUUUGUUGCUCAUUAUUACGCCCCUUAGCGCCUAGCAAAGUGUCUAGCACAUAGUAAGCACUUAAAAUGUUUGUAAAAUAAAUAAAUCAAUAAAACAAAAAUAAAAUUUUAUUGCACUUACCAUGUA